Molecule: unclassified non-coding RNA, 326 nt
Filed under: Hevea brasiliensis (rubber tree)
Lineage: Eukaryota; Viridiplantae; Streptophyta; Magnoliopsida; Malpighiales; Euphorbiaceae
Source: RNAcentral
AAUUACUCCCAUCACUUAAAUCAAGAUCACUGGCUAAAUCAGAAGGUGCACUACAAAAACAACACUGUCUAUCAUAAAUUCAAAACAGGAUAAGAAAUGAAGAAUAGCUGAGAAAAUCUUUCAAGCAAAUUACACGUUAAGGGUAAAAAAUGUUGUUUCCUGAACUGAAACAACUGGAUGAGAUAAAUAUAGUGUACAUUUAGGUGCCAAAGCCAGGUCGAUCAUGGAAACUUAAACACGACAACAUAAAAACCUAUGUUUAAUGUCCACUUCCUUGACUUUUUAAACUUAAUUUCAGCUUCACAGUGGUAUAUAAAACUAUGCAG